UGAGGAAUAUUGGUCAAUGGACGGAAGUCUGAACCAGCCAAGUCGCGUGAAGGAUGACUGCCCUAUGGGUUGUAAACUUCUUUUGUAUUGGGGGAAUAAGCCUUACGUGCAAGGUGAUGACUGUACAAUACGAAUAAGCAUCGGCUAACUCUGUGCCAGCAGCCGCGGUAAUACGUAGGGAGCGAGCGUUGUCCGGAAUUACUGGGUGUAAAGGGAGCGUAGGCGGGAAGGUAAGUUGGGUGUGAAAACUAUUGGCUCAACCAAUAGACUGCACUCAAAACUACUUUUCUUGAGUGAAGUAGAGGCAGGCGGAAUUCCUAGUGUAGCGGUGAAAUGCGUAGAUAUUAGGAGGAACACCAGUGGCGAAGGCGAUUCUCUGGGCCAAAACUGACGCUGAGGCGCGAAAGCGUGGGGAGCAAACA
This 422-nucleotide ribosomal RNA is filed under the name uncultured bacterium. RNAcentral describes it as "bacterial SSU rRNA". It matches the Rfam family "Bacterial small subunit ribosomal RNA", at positions 355 to 774 of the family's 1533-position model. The record is from RNAcentral.